GCUACGGGUGGCAGCAGUGAGGAAUAUUGGUCAAUGGGCGGAGGACUGAACCAGCCAAGCCGCGUGAGGGAAGACGGCACUAUGGGUUGUAAACCUCUUUUAUAAGGGAAGAAAAAUGACUACGUGUAGUCAGAUGCGCGUACCUUAUGAAUAAGCAUCGGCUAACUCCGUGCCAGCAGCCGCGGUAAUACGGAGGAUGCGAGCGUUAUCCGGAUUUAUUGGGUUUAAAGGGUGCGUAGGCGGUAUUUUAAGUUAGUGGUAAAAAGUCGGGGCUUCACCUUGAUUGGCCAUUGAAACUGGAGUACUAGAGUACAGACGAGGUAUGCGGAAUGAG
This 334-nucleotide ribosomal RNA is filed under the name uncultured bacterium. RNAcentral describes it as "partial 16S ribosomal RNA". It matches the Rfam family "Bacterial small subunit ribosomal RNA", at positions 338 to 670 of the family's 1533-position model. The record is from RNAcentral.